UUUAGGGUGACGAAGUGGUUGAUGCCAUGCUUCCAAGAAAAGCUUCUAAGCUUCAGGUAACCAGGAACCGUACCCCAAACCGACACAGGUGGUUGGGUAGAGAAUACCAAGGCGCUUGAGAGAACUCGGGUGAAGGAACUAGGCAAAAUGGCACCGUAACUUCGGGAGAAGGUGCGCCGGUGAGGGUGAAGCAUUUACUGCGUAAGCCCAUGCCGGUCGAAGAUACCAGGCCGCUGCGACUGUUUAUUAAAAACACAGCACUCUGCAAACACGAAAGUGGACGUAUAGGGUGUGACGCCUGCCCGGUGCCGGAAGGUUAAUUGAUGGGGUUAGCUAACGCGAAGCUCUUGAUCGAAGCCCCGGUAAACGGCGGCCGUAACAAUAACGGUCCUAAGGUAGCGAAAUUCCUUGUCGGGUAAGUUCCGACCUGCACGAAUGGCGUAACGAUGGCGGCGCUGUCUCCACCCGAGACUCAGUGAAAUUGAAAUCGCUGUGAAGAUGCAGUGUAUCCGCGGCUAGACGGAAAGACCCCGUGAACCUUUACUAUAGCUUUGCACUGGACUUUGAAUUUGCUUGUGUAGGAUAGGUGGGAGGCUUUGAAGCGUGGACGCCAGUUCGCGUGGAGCCAACCUUGAAAUACCACCCUGGCAACUUUGAGGUUCUAACUCAGGUCCGUUAUCCGGAUCGAGGACAGUGUAUGGUGGGUAGUUUGACUGGGGCGGUCUCCUCCUAAAGAGUAACGGAGGAGUACGAAGGUGCGCUCAGACCGGUCGGAAAUCGGUCGUAGAGUAUAAAGGCAAAAGCGCGCUUGACUGCGAGACAGACACGUCGAGCAGGUACGAAAGUAGGUCUUAGUGAUCCGGUGGUUCUGUAUGGAAGGGCCAUCGCUCAACGGAUAAAAGGUACUCCGGGGAUAACAGGCUGAUACCGCCCAAGAGUUCAUAUCGACGGCGGUGUUUGGCACCUCGAUGUCGGCUCAUCACAUCCUGGGGCUGAAGCCGGUCCCAAGGGUAUGGCUGUUCGCCAUUUAAAGUGGUACGCGAGCUGGGUUUAGAACGUCGUGAGACAGUUCGGUCCCUAUCUGCCGUGGACGUUUGAGAUUUGAGAGGGGCUGCUCCUAGUACGAGAGGACCGGAGUGGACGAACCUCUGGUGUUCCGGUUGUCACGCCAGUGGCAUUGCCGGGUAGCUAUGUUCGGAAUAGAUAACCGCUGAAAGCAUCUAAGCGGGAAACUAGCCUCAAGAUGAGAUCUCACUGGGACCUUGAGUCCCCUGAAGGGCCGUCGAAGACUACGACGUUGAUAGGUUGGGUGUGUAAGCGCUGUGAGGCGUUGAGCUAACCAAUACUAAUUGCCCGUGAGGCUUGACUAA
Molecule: ribosomal RNA, 1370 nt
Filed under: metagenome
Description: bacterial LSU rRNA
Rfam family: Bacterial large subunit ribosomal RNA
Source: RNAcentral